GGCCUUGUAGCUCAGUUGGCUAGAGCGUUGGCUGUACUAAAGCCUUCCCCUUGCUGGUGUCGGUUCGUAUCCCACCGAGGCUG
This 83-nucleotide transfer RNA is filed under the name Schistocephalus solidus. It matches the Rfam family "tRNA". Rfam says of the family: Transfer RNA (tRNA) molecules are approximately 80 nucleotides in length. Their secondary structure includes four short double-helical elements and three loops (D, anti-codon, and T loops). Lineage: Eukaryota; Metazoa; Platyhelminthes; Cestoda; Diphyllobothriidea; Diphyllobothriidae. The record is from Rfam by way of RNAcentral.